RNAcentral lists this transfer RNA (90 nucleotides) under Phycisphaerae bacterium. RNAcentral describes it as "tRNA-Ser". It matches the Rfam family "tRNA". From Rfam's summary of the family: Transfer RNA (tRNA) molecules are approximately 80 nucleotides in length. Lineage: Bacteria; Pseudomonadati; Planctomycetota; Phycisphaerae. The record is from RNAcentral.
GGAGAGAUGGCAGAACGGCUUAUCGCACCGGGUUGCUAACUCGGAGGUCCCUCUUAAGGCGACCCAGGGGUUCGAAUCCCCUUCUCUCCG